This 425-nucleotide ribosomal RNA is filed under the name uncultured bacterium. RNAcentral describes it as "bacterial SSU rRNA". It matches the Rfam family "Bacterial small subunit ribosomal RNA", at positions 354 to 796 of the family's 1533-position model. The record is from RNAcentral.
GUGGGGAAUAUUGCACAAUGGGGGAAACCCUGAUGCAGCAACGCCGCGUGAGUGAUGACGGUCUUCGGAUUGUAAAGCUCUGUCUUUGGGGACGAUAAUGACGGUACCCAAGGAGGAAGCCACGGCUAACUACGUGCCAGCAGCCGCGGUAAUACGUAGGUGGCGAGCGUUGUCCGGAUUUACUGGGCGUAAAGGGAGCGUAGGCGGAUUCUUAAGUGGGAUGUGAAAUACCCGGGCUUAACCUGGGUGCUGCAUUCCAAACUGGGAAUCUAGAGUGCAGGAGGGGAGAGUGGAAUUCCUAGUGUAGCGGUGAAAUGCGUAGAGAUUAGGAAGAACACCAGUGGCGAAGGCGACUCUCUGGACUGUAACUGACGCUGAGGCUCGAAAGCGUGGGGAGCAAACAGGAUUAGAUACCCUAGUAGUCC